GAUGAACGCUGGCGGCGUGCCUAAUACAUGCAAGUCGAGCGAAUGGAUUAAGAGCUUGCUCUUAUGAAGUUAGCGGCGGACGGGUGAGUAACACGUGGGUAACCUGCCCAUAAGACUGGGAUAACUCCGGGAAACCGGGGCUAAUACCGGACAAUAUUUUGAACUGCAUGGUUCAAAAUUGAAAGGCGGCUUCGGCUGUCACUUAUGGAUGGACCCGCGUCGCAUUAGCUAGUUGGUGAGGUAACGGCUCACCAAGGCAACGAUGCGUAGCCGACCUGAGAGGGUGAUCGGCCACACUGGGACUGAGACACGGCCCAGACUCCUACGGGAGGCAGCAGUAGGGAAUCUUCCGCAAUGGACGAAAGUCUGACGGAGCAACGCCGCGUGAGUGAUGAAGGCUUUCGGGUCGUAAAACUCUGUUGUUAGGGAAGAACAAGUGCUAGUUGAAUAAGCUGGCACCUUGACGGUACCUAACCAGAAAGCCACGGCUAACUACGAGCCAGCAGCCGCGGUAA
This 515-nucleotide ribosomal RNA is filed under the name uncultured bacterium. Its description in RNAcentral is "partial 16S ribosomal RNA". It matches the Rfam family "Bacterial small subunit ribosomal RNA", at positions 28 to 523 of the family's 1533-position model. The record is from RNAcentral.